CUCAGAGUCACCUCUGUGUUCUUUGAUCCGGUCUAGUUUUAAUGGCUUCAAAGGAGCCUCUAAAGAUGUUUCUGGUUAAUUUUACUCUCACAAAUAGGUAGACUGUAAUGCUGGCAUUCACCUGUAUAGCUCAAACAGUAAAGUAAAUGAAGUUUUUAAAGUAUCUUACUUCACUUUUCAAUCAUUCUCUUCCUUGGUUCUGUUCCCUUUUCGUAGUUUUCCUCUCCACUCAUCUCCAGUUUCAAAAUAUUAAAUACAAAACCUUUUCGAUUAUUGUUCUUAGACUAGAAUUCCUGAUGUUACAAGGAAGAAAGUAAGCCUUCAACUAUUAAGAGUUCUGAAUUUUAAUUCUGUAGCCACUUUAGAAUGGCAAACUCAAAUUUUAGGGACUGGGAUGAUCAUGUUGAAAACUUAAGUGGUCAUAAAAACAACUUUACUAAUAUUAUUAUUUCAACGAUUCACGUUGAUGCCUCCGAUGGCUCGGGAAAGUUCUUACACCACCACUGUACUAUAUGAAAAAGGAAAACAAAACACAAAAUAAAAACCACAACAAAACCCUCAAAGCCUGUUUAAAAUGGCUCCAAGUACCUUUUUAAAGACAGAACCCCAGAGAAAAACGCUACCAAUUCUUUGCUUCAUUGUUCCCUGCCUGGGGUCCUCAAUAGCCUUUUCCAUUAACCUUCCCUUUUUACGCAAUGGUUAAUGACUUUUGGGGUUGUUUUGCUUUUUGUUUCUGCUGAGUCACUAAAUUUUGCCUCUUUGUCCCCAGGUGCUGCUAAGCAUAAAAGUUAAAAGUGCAAUUCAGGAAGCACUGGGAUUCUGUGUAGACCCGAGGAAACCAUUUCCCUAAGAGAAGCUCUGUUCCUUGGCUUGUCCUUCCUUCCCGGGAAGGAAGCUUCCGAGGAACGAAGGGAUCAGCCCGCUUUGCCUGCAGAAGCUUGGCUGAGGGUUCCCAGCCGGCUGUGAACUGCGGAGCAUUGUAGGCGCCUGGCUGGCUCAGCCCAAUGCAGAAGUCUCUCCCUUCUCCAAAAACCCAAAUCCCUACAGAACCAGCUUCUAGUUACUUUCCCUUCAAGGGGAUUAAAAUAAUUGUGAUUUGUGGCGCUCUGCGUUCGCGGUGGUAUUUUCUGUUGUGUUAAAUGCCUCUUACUAAGUAAUAGAUGUGAUUUAUGUGGACGACGACGGGGUGUGUGGUGGAUUCGGUGAUUAAUCAGUGAAUUCCCAUCCGCUGGCAUCUCUCACUGCCCCUCUUGCGUGAUGUAAGAUCAGACGUACCCUGCAUUGAAAAGUCAAGACACACGGGCGGCUCGCUCGCGCUCACACACGCUCUCGCUCCUCUCUCCCGCACGCGCGCAUCCCUCCACCUUCCACAUCCUGCUCCAGGCAGGAGAAGGCGGACUGGUUGGACUCAUUGAGCUGAAGAAUUUCCAGUGACAUUUGUAAAUGACGCCGCUCGAUUCCGGGCUCCAAGCCGCCGCCGCCGCCGCCGCCGCCUCCGGGCCGAAGGUGCCGCCGAGCAGUCUCCAGCGCAGACUUCCUUACCGGGCGACCACAAUGUCCGAGUUUCUCCUCGCCUUACUCACUCUCUCGGGAUUAUUGCCGAUCGCCAGGGUGCUGAGCGUGAGAGCCGACCGAGAUCAGCAGUUGUGUGAUCCUGGUGAAUUUCUUUGCCACGAUCAUGUGACUUGUGUCUCCCAGAGCUGGCUGUGUGAUGGGGACCCUGACUGCCCUGAUGAUUCAGACGAGUCUUUAGAUACCUGUGAGUAGAAAGGUUCUCAUGCCAUUCGGAUUUAUCUUACAUGUCAAACUAAAUGUCAGUUAUUUUCACAGAUGACUGCUGUUCUAGAUUCUUCUUUUUUUUUUCCCCCAAAUAGCCUAAGAAAUUUGAAACCUUUUGUUUGUGUUUUUUAAAAUAUGACUAUGUGAAAGAGAGCCUAAAAUGCAGUUUUGGAGUGUGAAUUAACUUAUGAAAGGAAGAAAAUGUGAAGUUAAUUACUUCAAUGUGAUUGUGUUAACACUAGAAAAAAAUGACUUGAGAAAAAAUUUAUUUAAAAUAUAUAACUAAAAGGGAAAAGAUCUUCCCCAAUAAAUUAUCUCACACAUUUUGAGACAGAAGGAAUAUUGAAGAAAUCAAGCUUUAGUUCCUAUGUUAUUUCUAUUAAUAUUUUAAGGCACUACACAUAUAAUUGAACAUAUUUUCCUCUGAGACUGAAAGAUAGAAACUUUAUCCAUUCAUAGAGUUAGGAUAUUUGUAUUUAUAAUAUCACAUUCAGAAACCCUUAGUAUAUAUGAAUCCUAAUCAUAGUUGUACUACUAUAACUUGGAAUCCAACGAAGGCUUUUUCCAUAUUACAAAUACCACUACAACAAAAUUAUAAAUAAUAAUAUGACCAUAGCUACAUAUGGCCCACUUUUUUUAAUACCCACUUAUCAUAAGGGGUAUGAACAGUUCCCUGAAUAUUGGUAGUGAUAUUUCUAGAACUUCUCAUAUCAACCUGUGCUCCUCAGGCAACCAGGUAUGCUGACAUGUCAAUAUCAUCCCCAGAGUAACCACAUAGUUGUAUGAAAUUAAUGUGAAAAAAAGAUACAUCAUCUUCAUUGCUUGAUAAUGUUGAAAUAACAAUUAUUGGUUCCAUUUUCCAUUUUCAUUUAUCUGUUUUCAAGUCUUGCAGACAGUUUUGAAGAAAAUCUUGCUGUUAGAGGCAAAUGCUUACUAAUUUCCUUUAUGUUCGACAGUCUUUUUAAGGUUUCUCAAACAGUGAAUACUUGAAUAUUUGCAAGAAUUGCUUCUCUUUAUUUUGAGCUGAUUGCUUUUUCCACAGGAAGAGGUUAUAAUCAUUUACUGCUACAUUUCUAAUUUUCACCAAUUUCACCAGUUAAUGCCCAAAAUCCUUUCAAAACUCUUUACUAGACUCCUUACAGCAUAGACAAGGUUCUCAGCAGAUAAGUUAAAAAUAAAAGAUUCAUAGGAAAAAUUCUAAUGCAUAAAUUAUGAUAAACCCAUAUAGAGGAAUAUUAUUUGGUAAUAAAAAGGAAUGAAGGACUCAUGCAUGCUACAACAUGGAUGAACCUGGAAAAUAUGCUAAGGGAAAGAAGCUCAUCAAAACAGAUCACAUGUUUUAUGAUUACCUUCAUAUACAAGAUACAAAAUAGGAAAAUCUAUAGAGAUAGAAAAGCAGAGAGAGGUUGCCAGGAGCUAGGUAAAGUAGGUCACAGGGAAGGGAAUGAGGAAUGACUCUUAUUGAAUAUAUGGUCUUUGGGGGAUUGAUGAAAAUGUUCUUAAAUUAGAUUGUGAUGAUGCUUGCACAACUGUGUUGAUAUGUUUUAAAACACAGGAAUGCACAUUUUAAAUGGGUAAAUUAUGUUAUGUCAAUUACAUCUUAAUAAAGGUGUUUGUAAAGGGAAGAUAAAUCUCAGUAUUGUGCAUAUGAAUGAAGAGAUACAGGAAUGUGGAAAAACAACAAUAAUAAAUGCUUUGGUCCUACAUUAUACAAAUAGUGAGGCCACUUUUCAAUAUCCCAACUCUCUUUAAGCUUUAGCCCUCUCCUUUUCAAGUGCUAUCUAGAAAUGAAAUUCUCUCCUCUUUAGCUACAAGGAAAGACUGCCAUAGCAUAAUCAGAGUAAGAGUCAGGGUUCUUUAAUUUUGGUAAUGGGGUCUCACAUUCUGCCCUGAUCCUCCCACGAAUUCUGUGAUGGAGAAAAUAACAAGGACAUGACAUAGAUUUGCAGAAUUCAUAUGCUGGAAAGCCAGAGUGGAGGAGAAAUGCCAUAGAACUGUGUGACUGGCACAAUGCAAUAGUAGUUGAGAAGAAAUGGUAGCAUGGCACUUCUAGGCCGGAGUCUCCUUCAUGCUGGUGAAGAAUGGUAAACAAGGAUGUUCCCUUUGUGCUCAAGAGGGAGCUCAGUGGAGAAUCAGACUGGAGAGAUUUUGUGUCUAAAGGGGCAGUAUUAACCUGUGUAGUCAGUAGGUAAAGUCCAGAGAGAAAAUAGACCUCUCAAUGCAUGUCAAAGUAGGUGAUGACAAAUAUUCCGCCCUCCUCCUAUGCCCACUCCAUGUCUUUAAAAUCAUGGCAGAUACCCAGCAGGCCCACACCAGUGGACCAGGCCUAUGCACACUGAGCAGUAUUCACCCUGAUUGAUUAGAUAUCUACUAAAAAUGGUUAAAGUCCCACUGCAAUUCUGUUAAAUAUUUGAACAACCGCCCUGCCGAUAAGGUACAUACCACCUUGAAUUUGUGUAAUAAGGGGGUCCUUCAGUUCACAGAGAUUAGGGGCUUUUAGCAGACAGAGGCCUCAAAUUGGAAAUAGAAUGUCAGUUAAUUAAAAAUAGAGAUUGAUAUUCUGCUUACUUAGUUUGUAAAAUAAAAUUCAUACCUGCUCAAGAUAUUUUUGGCAGUUUAAGUAUAUAGUUUUUUUCUCUCCAAUAACAUUUGAUGGAUUCAAAUUUAAAAUGUUUCUUCACUUUGGCCAUUCGUAUUUUAUCCUCUAACAUUAACGUUGCUGAAUAUCCUUAAAGGCAACACUGAAACUGCUCUUUAUUGAUUAGCCACAUAACAAAGACAGAGAAAUAACUGUAUUUUCUAACUGUUUUAUUCAUUUAAUCUGUUCAAGAUAUUUAGAUUUAUAUUUAAUUAGCCUGUUCCAUAUAAAUGGUUUCAGUCAAUACCAGUUGAAAUUCGGACAUGCAUAGAAAAAAAAGCUUUAUGAAAGUAUCGGUCUUUUGCAAAUUUAAAUUUCUCAAUCCAGAUGUUCACCAUUAUCAUUUUCUGUAAUCACAGUACUUUGUAAUGUGUUGUUUUAUGAUAUUCACAUGCAGUCUUCACUAAUCUACAUAAAGUAAUUGCAUAAUUUUAUAAUUAUAUGAAUGUAUACAUUUGAUAUGAAAGAUAAAUAUUAAUAAUGGAAAACCUUGGAGACUGAUUCUUAGGAAGAUUAAUUUUGUGCUCAGUAUAUGAACAAAAAUAUUUUAACAUCUUUGAUUUGAAGACAAAGUAUUUUGUAUCUUCAAAAUAUUAGAUAAAAACAACUGAUGCAAUAGUUAUUUUUUUUGGAAAUCCACUUAGCUUUAAAAUGAUAGAGAGACCGCUGUAGCAUAGAAUUUAUUGUGUCAUUGUGAAAUCUCUGAAGUGACAAAAUUCUAACAGGAAGUAAAUGGAUAUUGGUUAGCAAGAAGAAAAGCUUUACUUAUAAAAUGCUUUAGAAGGAAAACAUAUGUACAGAACAAUAAGAAAUCCUAGAAACUAAAUAAAAUUUAGAUAAUUAGAAAUCUGAAAGUUUAUCAAGUCCAUGUUUUCCUUCUCUUCUGUGUUUGCUUGUUCCCAGGCUCUAGCGUAUUCUCUAGCAUUCAUGAAGCAGAAGUUAAAGUUCGCUAACAGCAAUACACAUAGAAAACUGUUGUACGAGGUUGACUUACAACUAAGCUGAUUUCAUGUUGGGAAGAAUUAUCUAAAAUACACAACUGGAAAAUUUUAAUAAUUUAUAAUCUUACCAUUGUGUAUGAGAAAGGACUUUGAGUCAUAAAAAUGAAAGCUUUUAUUUCUGCAUAUUGUUUAAAAUAAUUUUUCAAGUGUCUAAAUAAAGACUAACACCAGUUUUAGGUUCUAUAGGCAAUGAGAAUAGAAAAUCAGGGAAAUCAUCAUCUUUCUACUCAGAGCUUUUAACCCAGUGUUGUUAGCAUAGCAUGUGAUGGGAAUGAAAAUAAAUAGUGGAAGUGUUUAGUUAGAGAAUGAAAGCUUGGUACCACCUGUAUCAGGAACGUCUUCUUAAAAGGCACUUCUGAGGUAUUUAAAAUUGAAUUCCUUCUAGAAUUUUCUGUGGGAUGCUUAAUGAUACUUCUUUUUCAACACUUGGCUCCAGCUGAUGUAUGAUAUUUUCCGGAUAUCUGAUAUCAUUGUACUUAAAACUAGAUUCUUUCUUUUUAAGAAAGAAAAGUAUUAGCCAUGCUAUUCAACCUUCUUCCUUAUUUCCUGCUCAUUGCUCGUCAAAGAAUCAUUGACUGAGUUCUUCCGUCACAGAUCAUGUUUUGGACGUAAUGACUCAUUGACCAACAAAGGAUAACAAAAAUGGCCUAAGCAAUAUUUGCAAACUGGACUCUUCUCUGUCCUGUCCUUCUACAAGGGUCAGCAUGCAUUUUCUGUAAAGAUCAGAUAGUAAAUAUUUAGGCUUUAAAGGUCCAUAUGAUCUCUGUUGCAUAUUCUUUGUUUUUAUUUAUUUUUCAGUUUGUUUUGAAAACCUUUAAAAAGGAGGAAGAAAACAAAAUCUCUCAGCUUACAGUCUGUACAGUAACAGGCCACACAGGUCAGAUCUGCCCAACAGGCUAUAUAAUUUGCCAAAUCUUUGUUGUAGUAGCAUAGCUGAAAUAUAUCUGCUAUACAGUUGAGGCAGGUUUGUGCUCAGGCACUGCUGCUAUAUGGAACAGCAUAACCUUACACAAUGAAUGCACGAAGUACGGAGUUGUGUUUGUAUCCACCAGUCAUGGUGCCAGACUGAUCCAAUAUGGUGUAGUCUACAUAUACUGAAUUUUGUUUCCUUCUAUUUUUGCAUACUUCCUUAUUGGUUAGGAUUGCAUUUGACCACAUGUUAUAGAAACAGUGACUUAAUCAAAUAGGGUUUUCCUUUUUUCAUAAAAAGAGAAGUUGCAAACGUGGGUAAUUCAGAACUGACGUGACAGAUUCAGAAUGACUACAGGCUUCUUCUAUCUCUCCUACUCAGUACCAUAUCCACAGUAUGGCUGCUUCUCCCUUAGUAGAUAAUUUCAUUUUGGACAGCCAGAAGGAAAAGAGAAAAGGGAAAAGGCCAAUGCCAGCUGAGCCUCUCCGUCAGGAAAAGGAUAAAUUUUACAGAAAGCAAACACAGUAGAUCUCCUUCACCAGAAUGGGUUAUAUGGGGCAUGGGGCAACGAGUAUUGUCAACAAGACCUGGUUGCUUUCCAAAACAAUAUUUGGUGUUCCGCUAGUAAAGAAAAAGGAAGAAGAGAUAUUGGGCAGGCAAAGGAACUUGGUAGUAUAUACCACAGUGUCCCUUCACUCUCCUCCUUGGCAUCUGCUGCAUAGGAGAUGUUACGGACAGUACAUGGUCACAGCAACUGCUUGGCUCCAAGGCUCAGUUUUUCCAUGAAUAUCUUUGCUCUUGGACAACUAAAUUAACACUAUUGUGCCUCCAUUACCCCAUCUGUACAAUGGAAAUGAUAGUACCUGCCUCACAGUAAGGUGCUCAGAAUGAGUGCCUAUUCCAUAGUAACAUUCCUUCUCCACUCCAUACCCCAUCUGCCUUCCAGAUGCCCACAACGAAGCACCUUACCUUGAGGUUCUUUUGAAAGACCAUCCAACUGCCCCCUCUCAGUCGAUCCUCUCUCAUUCUUACUCAAAACCUAACUGAAAGUCAGUUCUAUUCCCUAAAACAUGGCUAGAGAAGAGGUUUAAUCUAUAUAUGCUAAUCAAGUUAAGUUAUAAAUAAUUUCCAAUGAUCAGAUAUAUUACAUUCAAACACUGGGAUAAAUUUGGUAUAGAAAUUAUUUGGGGGCAGGUGACUUUUUCUAGGAACUCUUUCAAAAACAUUGAUGUUGAAUAAUUGGCUAAAUUUGAAAUACAUGAUUUAAAAAAUACAAUAGUCAAAAAUAUUAAUUGACACUGCAGUCCUGAAAUGUAGAUAAUAUUUCAUUUUAAAAAAAUAAAGAAGUUGAGUUUAUAAUCCUUCUCUCCCCUUCUAAGUUGGCUCCUGUUAGUGAAAACAGAGUUUAUAUUUUUUGAACUUGCCCUCCUUUUUUGAAAUACUGAGAUAAAGCAGGAUCCAAUUCCUAAAAGAAUCCUCAGGCCACCUAAUUUAAAAAUACAUUGUCAUUUGAAAAUCAUGGAAGGCCAUCCCAAAAGGGUUGUUUCACACUGGCUUUGGGAGUGAUCAGUUCUAAUUGAACAAUGCCAUAAAAAGAACAAGUCUCUUGGGUACUAGGAAGAGAAGCAUCUAUGAAAAAUGAAAAUGGCUAUAAGUCAUUAGGUGAGAUGUGAAUCUGCAUGAAUUGACCAGUGCUUCUAUUAUGUUUCCAUUUUUGUGAGAUUUUAGACUUUAUUUAGGUAGUAGGAUUUUAAUGAACUUCUUAUAUUCAUACACUGACCUUUCCCCUUGGAUAUAAGAUAGAAAUCCUUUCAUAAUUUCCUUCUAAACUUUCUACCUUUGACAUAGGUCAGAGAAAUAAAAUAGAAUUCAGGUGGGAGGUUAUUAGCAAACAGAUACCGCCCUUUAAAAUUAUAUAGUAGAAUAAGGCACUGAAAGUAGACUAUAGGAACUAUAAAACAGAUAGAAGUAUGGUCCGUGUUUCUAAGUAAUGGUGAUUUAGAGGUCACUUUGCAAUGAGCUAAUAUAUGAGAGUCACAAAGCUAAGCUUUUCGUUCGGUAGAAAAGCUGAAAUGAUCUUACAGAUUAAAGGGAAAGCAUAUGAGACCCAUGAGGACAGUUUAUGUCUCUUUCAAUUCUUUUUGUUUUGUUCUUCAUUUUAUUCUGAGACUCCUCUCUUUAGCAGUAGAGAGGCCAAAAAGCAUUGACCCUUCUUUAAUAAUAAAAAGACUCCCACUUAAGAGUUGAUAUGCAGGGGUGAUAGGAAGGUGGGGAUCAGUGUAGUUGUGAAUUGAAAGGGCCUAACAUUGGUACAGUUCCCCAGUACAGUGGAGUCGGAGUAGGGGGUGACAUUUCUCCUCAUUCUGCCCUCACAAUGCACUAAUGGGUCUCUGAGAGUCUGCCUCUGCAAUUUAAAAAAAAAAAAAAAAAAUAGUUGAUUGCAGGCGUAGGUGAUGAAACUACAAUUCACACAGCCAUAGUGAGCUCAGCAAUGACAAAGCCUCACCUUUUCACUCAAGAAUUCACUGCUUUUCAGUCUUCUGAUCCAAGACCACAGGUCACAAAUGAAAGGGGACACAUGUCCCUCAGGUGGGGCUAUAAACUAUGGAGAAUGAAAACUUUGAAAUGAUGUAAAAUAAAAGGGGUGAAAUGAAAUACAGGAAUUCUAGAAACAACUGGUGAAAUCUCCUUGGCCUAAAGGAUGAUGUACUGUAAACAAACGCUCUUGCAGGACUCUACAGGGACAAAGCUGAAGGCUGAGCAAGGAGUCUUCCCAGAAACUAUUCAAUCCAUCAUUUCUCUAUAACUAAUCUAGCAUUUGGGGUUGUGGAUGAAGGCUUCUUACCUUUCAUGGG
Chlorocebus sabaeus (green monkey) is the source of this 9183-nucleotide non-coding RNA. NCBI's taxonomy places the organism in Eukaryota, Metazoa, Chordata, Mammalia, Primates, Cercopithecidae. The record is from RefSeq and is a predicted model, not a curated record.